Molecule: non-coding RNA, 24 nt
Filed under: Arabidopsis thaliana (thale cress)
Lineage: Eukaryota; Viridiplantae; Streptophyta; Magnoliopsida; Brassicales; Brassicaceae
Source: RNAcentral
AUAAUCGACGUGAUGGUGGACGCA